GGUAGUCCACGCCGUAAACGAUGUCGACUUGGAGGUUGUGCCCUUGAGGCGUGGCUUCCGGAGCUAACGCGUUAAGUCGACCGCCUGGGGAGUACGGCCGCAAGGUUAAAACUCAAAUGAAUUGACGGGGGCCCGCACAAGCGGUGGAGCAUGUGGUUUAAUUCGAUGCAACGCGAAGAACCUUACCUACUCUUGACAUCCAGAGAACUUUCCAGAGAUGGAUUGGUGCCUUCGGGAACUCUGAGACAGGUGCUGCAUGGCUGUCGUCAGCUCGUGUUGUGAAAUGUUGGGUUAAGUCCCGCAACGCGCGCAACCCUUAUCCUUUGUUGCCAGCGGUUAGGCCGGGAACUCAAAGGAGACUGCCAGUGAUAAACUGGAGGAAGGUGGGGAUGACGUCAAGUCAUCAUGGCCCUUACGAGUAGGGCUACACACGUGCUACAAUGGCGCAUACAAAGAGAAGCGACCUCGCGAGAGCAAGCGGACCUCAUAAAGUGCGUCGUAGUCCGGAUUGGAGUCUGCAACUCGACUCCAUGAAGUCGGAAUCGCUAGUAAUCGUAGAUCAGAAUGCUACGGUGAAUACGUU
Molecule: ribosomal RNA, 583 nt
Filed under: Oceanidesulfovibrio indonesiensis
Lineage: Bacteria; Pseudomonadati; Thermodesulfobacteriota; Desulfovibrionia; Desulfovibrionales; Desulfovibrionaceae
Description: bacterial SSU rRNA
Rfam family: Bacterial small subunit ribosomal RNA
Source: RNAcentral